Molecule: non-coding RNA, 86 nt
Organism: Bombyx mori (domestic silkworm)
Lineage: Eukaryota; Metazoa; Arthropoda; Insecta; Lepidoptera; Bombycidae
Source: Rfam
CUAACUCAAAUUUGUAUGGAGUUGGAAAGUUUACCUACGUUUGCCGCUAGGGGCGCUGUUCCAAUUGCAUACACAAAUUUGAGUUA